AGAGAGAUGGCAGAGCGGUCGAAUGCGGCGGUCUUGAAAACCGUUGAACUGCGAGGUUCCGGGGGUUCGAAUCCCUCUCUCUCUACGU
This 88-nucleotide transfer RNA is filed under the name Cytophaga hutchinsonii ATCC 33406. RNAcentral's name for it is "tRNA-Ser". It matches the Rfam family "tRNA". Rfam says of the family: Transfer RNA (tRNA) molecules are approximately 80 nucleotides in length. Their secondary structure includes four short double-helical elements and three loops (D, anti-codon, and T loops). Further hydrogen bonds mediate the characteristic L-shaped molecular structure. tRNAs have two regions of fundamental functional importance: the anti-codon, which is responsible for specific mRNA codon recognition, and the 3' end, to which the tRNAs corresponding amino acid is attached (by aminoacyl-tRNA synthetases). tRNAs cope with the degeneracy of the genetic code in two manners: having more than one tRNA (with a specific anti-codon) for a particular amino acid; and 'wobble' base-pairing, i.e. permitting non-standard base-pairing at the 3rd anti-codon position. The record is from RNAcentral. Lineage: Bacteria; Pseudomonadati; Bacteroidota; Cytophagia; Cytophagales; Cytophagaceae.